CCGGCGCACGGGUGAGUAACACGUAUCCAACCUGCCGUCUACUCUUGGACAGCCUUCUGAAAGGAAGAUUAAUACAAGAUGGCAUCAUGAGUCCGCAUGUUCACAUGAUUAAAGGUAUUCCGGUAGACGAUGGGAUGCGUUCCAUUAGAUAGUAGGCGGGGUAACGGCCCACCUAGUCUUCGAUGGAUAGGGGUUCUGAGAGGAAGGUCCCCCACAUUGGAACUGAGACACGGUCCAAACUCCUACGGGAGGCAGCAUG
RNAcentral lists this ribosomal RNA (259 nucleotides) under uncultured bacterium. RNAcentral describes it as "partial 16S ribosomal RNA". It matches the Rfam family "Bacterial small subunit ribosomal RNA", at positions 95 to 353 of the family's 1533-position model. The record is from RNAcentral.